RNAcentral lists this ribosomal RNA (843 nucleotides) under uncultured soil bacterium. Its description in RNAcentral is "bacterial SSU rRNA". It matches the Rfam family "Bacterial small subunit ribosomal RNA", at positions 26 to 897 of the family's 1533-position model. The record is from RNAcentral.
AGAAUCAACGCUGGCGGCGUGCCUAACACAUGCAAGUCGAACGAGAAAGUGGUAGCAAUACCAUGAGUAAAGUGGCGCACGGGUGAGUAACACGUGACUAACCUACCCUUGAGUGGGGGAUAACUGAGGGAAACCUUAGCUAAUACCGCAUAAUACCCACGGGUCAAAGGAGCAAUUCGCUUAAGGAGGGGGUCGCGGCCGAUUAGUUAGUUGGCGGGGUAAUGGCCCACCAAGACUGUGAUCGGUAUCCGGCCUGAGAGGGCGCACGGACACACUGGAACUGAAACACGGUCCAGACUCCUACGGGAGGCAGCAGUGGGGAAUUUUGCGCAAUGGGGGAAACCCUGACGCAGCAACGCCGCGUGGAGGAUGAAGUCCCUCGGGACGUAAACUCCUUUCGAUCGGGACGAUAAUGACGGUACCGGAAGAAGAAGCCCCGGCUAACUCUGUGCCAGCAGCCGCGGUAAUACAGAGGGUGCGAGCGUUAAUCGGAAUUACUGGGCGUAAAGCGUGCGUAGACGGUUUCGUAAGUCGGAUGUGAAAUCCCCGGGCUCAACCUGGGAAUUGCAUUCGAGACUGCGAGGCUAGGGUGCGGAAGAGGGAGGCGGAAUUUCCGGUGUAGCGGUGAAAUGCGUAGAUAUCGGAAGGAACAUCAGUGGCGAAAGCGGCUUCCUGGUCCAGCACCGACGUUCAGGCACGAAAGCGUGGGGAGCAAACAGGAUUAGAUACCCUGGGUAGUCCUAGCCCUAAACGAUGGAUGCUUGGUGUAGCGGGUACCCAAUCCCGCUGUGCCGGAGCUAACGCGAUAAGCAUCCCGCCUGGGGAGUACGGUCGCAAGGCUGA